UGAGAAUCUGGCUUCAGGUUCGGGACAACAGUUGGAAACGGCUGCUAAUACCGGAUGUGCCUUAUGGUGAAAGAUUUAUCACCUGAAGAUGAGCUCGCGUCUGAUUAGCUAGUAGGUGUGGUAAGAGCGCACCUAGGCGACGAUCAGUAGCUGGUCUGAGAGGAUGAUCAGCCACACUGGGACUGAGACACGGCCCAGACUCCUACGGGAGGCAGCAGUGGGGAAUUUUCCGCAAUGGGCGAAAGCCUGACGGAGCAAUACCGCGUGAGGGAGGAAGGCUCUUGGGUUGUAAACCUCUUUUCUCAGGGAAGAAUAAAUGACGGUACCUGAGGAAUAAGCAUCGGCUAACUCCGUGCCAGCAGCCGCGGUAAUACGGAGGAUGCAAGCGUUAUCCGGAAUGAUUGGGCGUAAAGCGUCCGCAGGUGGCAAUGUAAGUCUGCUGUCAAAGCGUCUGGCUCAACCAGAUAAAGGCAGUGGAAACUACAUAGCUAGAGUAAGGUAGGGGUAGAGGGAAUUCCUGGUGUAGCGGUGAAAUGCGUAGAGAUCAGGAAGAACACCGGUGGCGAAAGCGCUCUGCUGGACCUUAACUGACACUGAGGGACGAAAGCUAGGGGAGCGAAUGGGAUUAGAUACCCCAGUAGUCCUAGCCGUA
Molecule: ribosomal RNA, 652 nt
Filed under: uncultured cyanobacterium
Lineage: Bacteria; Bacillati; Cyanobacteriota
Description: bacterial SSU rRNA
Rfam family: Bacterial small subunit ribosomal RNA
Source: RNAcentral